AGCGGCGGACGGGUGAGUAACGCGUGGGUAACCGUGCCUCAUACAGGGGGAUAACAGUUGGAAACGGACUGCUAAUACCGCAUAAGCGCACAGUACCGCAUGGUACGGUGUGAAAAACUCCGGUGGUAUGAGAUGGACCCGCGUCUGAUUAGAUAGUUGGUGGGGUAACGGCCUACCAAGCCGACGAUCAGUAGCCGACCUGAGAGGGUGACCGGCCACAUUGGGACUGAGACACGGCCCAA
This 242-nucleotide ribosomal RNA is filed under the name uncultured bacterium. RNAcentral describes it as "partial 16S ribosomal RNA". It matches the Rfam family "Bacterial small subunit ribosomal RNA", at positions 94 to 334 of the family's 1533-position model. The record is from RNAcentral.